Molecule: non-coding RNA, 306 nt
Organism: Pelobates cultripes (western spadefoot toad)
Lineage: Eukaryota; Metazoa; Chordata; Amphibia; Anura; Pelobatidae
Source: the annotation of a GenBank genome assembly
GGUGUAUAGAUAAUGUCCCUGCAGUCUCAUAGCUCAAUUAUCUGUCAUUUAGGAGUUAAAUCACUUUGUUUGUGCAGCCCUAGGCACACCUCCCUGCAUGUGACUUGCACAGCCUUCCUAAACACUUCCUGUAAAGAGUCAUCUAAUGUUUACACUUCCUUUAUUGUACAUUCUGUUAUAUUUAGAAUUUCUUGUAACCUGCUGUGUUAAAAGUCUGGUAGACACUGCAGAAGCCUAUUUCGUUUGAUGAAAGUUCAAUUAACAGAGCAGAUAGAUAACACACUUUGCUGCAAGAUCUGAUCUGAA